CCUACGGGUGGCAGCAGUGAGGAAUAUUGGUCAAUGGACGAGAGUCUGAACCAGCCAAGUAGCGUGAAGGAUUACUGCCCUAUGGGUUGUAAACUUCUUUUAUAUGGGAAUAAAAUGUUCCACGUGUGGGACUUUGUAUGUACCAUAUGAAUAAUGAUCGGCUAACUCCGUGCCAGCAGCCGCGGUAAUACGGAGGAUCCGAGCGUUAUCCGGAUUUAUUGGGUGUAAAGGGAGCGUAGGUGGAUUGUUAAGUCAGGUGUGAAAGUUUGCGGCUCAACCGUAAAAUUGCAGUUGAAACUGGCAGUCUAGAGUACAGUAGAGGUAGGCGGAAUUCGUGGUGUAGCGGUGAAAUGCUUAGAUAUCACGAAGAACUCCGAUUGCGAAGGCAGCUCACUGGACUGCAACUGACACUGAGGCACGAAGGUGUGGGUAUCAAACAGGAUUAGAUACCCUUGUAGUC
RNAcentral lists this ribosomal RNA (460 nucleotides) under uncultured bacterium. RNAcentral describes it as "partial 16S ribosomal RNA". It matches the Rfam family "Bacterial small subunit ribosomal RNA", at positions 338 to 795 of the family's 1533-position model. The record is from RNAcentral.